This 667-nucleotide long non-coding RNA is filed under the name Chloebia gouldiae (Gouldian finch). RNAcentral describes it as "Erythrura gouldiae (Gouldian finch) lncRNA (ENSEGOG00005006814.1)". The record is from RNAcentral. Lineage: Eukaryota; Metazoa; Chordata; Aves; Passeriformes; Passeridae.
AAAAAAAAAAAGAGGGGAGACAGAGUAAAAAUGUACUCCUACAGUCAAGCCUUCCGUAUGGAGCCAAUGGGCAGAUGUGGUUUCCUUGGACUACUCUGACCUACAGAGGACACGAGAAACCUGAUGAGAAGGGUCAGAGGAGGGAAUCAGGAACAGAGUCCCUUGCAAGGGCUACUCUGGGGAUGGUCAAGCCUCAAGAGGUGAUCCACCGUGCCUUGACUGGUCCUGGAGUGAAGCCAACAAAGAUUAUUGGAGGUUUCCAGAGGCCUCAUCAUCACUUCAUUUAAGCACCAUUUCCUUGCUGAUGCCAAUGCUUGGAAAACUAGAGGGUGGAAAAAAAGCACUUGGGUCUGUGAAGAAAUAUUUGGAACAAGGAAAUCCUGCAAGUGAAAAGAAGUCCUACAACUGGGAAAGACAAAAAACCAGCCAGUGUAACCACAAUACUGGAUUUCCUAUGGAGAUAACCAUCAUCAAUGCACAAAGCUCCUGUGUUCCUUCAAUUAACAUACUGUAGGUGGAAGCAAAAAACACUGCAUAAUGGUAAGUUUCACUUUCUACAAAGUCAAAAGCUGUUUUAAUAGAAGCUUAAGUGCCUUUCUUUUCAGUUCAGCAAGAAAGAGAGUAUUUUCUCAGAGGCUGACUGAACACCCAGGUUGUUCAGAAGCCA